This is a long non-coding RNA of Bombyx mori (domestic silkworm), 423 nucleotides long. RefSeq lists it as uncharacterized. The transcript has 2 exons. Lineage: Eukaryota; Metazoa; Arthropoda; Insecta; Lepidoptera; Bombycidae. The record is from RefSeq and is a predicted model, not a curated record.
ACGUAUGCAGUAGCUUUAAAAUGGCAAGAUAAUUAUUGCGGUUCCAUCUGUACAUAUAAUAUAUAAAAAUGAAUUGCUGUUCGUUAGUCUCGCUAAAACUCGAGAACGGCUGAACCGAUUUGGCUAAUUAUGGUCUUGAAUUAUUUGUGGAAGUCCAGAAAAGGCUUAAAAGGAGAACGAUCAGCGAAUGGCCAUGACUGCAGUAUUAGCCAUAUGGUACUUUUGUAUAACAGAGUUUAAGUGUUGAAACGCGUGCUAUAUAAGGCAUAGCAUAAUGAUAUCAACUAUGACCUUGCAAGAAUUGAGACGUGGGAUGAAGUACUCAUAAAAAAUAGUUUAAAGCAAUAUAUUGUUUAAUUGUACAUACUCAGAGUGGUUCUUAACUUAAAUUAAAAUACAUUAGAAUUAUUACAAAAGAAUACA